Mesocricetus auratus (golden hamster) is the source of this 355-nucleotide long non-coding RNA. RefSeq lists it as uncharacterized. NCBI's taxonomy places the organism in Eukaryota, Metazoa, Chordata, Mammalia, Rodentia, Cricetidae. The record is from RefSeq and is a predicted model, not a curated record. The transcript has 3 exons.
GGCUUGUUCCUCAACGUGGUGGCACCUGUCCAAGGUAGGACCUGAUGGGAAGUCACAAGAAGCCCCAAAAGGAUUAAGCAAACGAGAGGACAAACUGAGGCAUGCCCAUGCAGUGGGCCCCUAAUCUCACUUGCACGGAACCAGGUGUAAAUCUGGGGAACGGCGCGGGUGAAGGACUUGUGCGCAGCCACUUUCUGCAGUUCCAGACAUCUCCGACAGCAAAAUCACAAGUUGUUCCAGGAACAACCUCAGAGGCCAGAGUGAGGGAGAAGUAGGAGGACUCAUGAAUGUUUCACACCACGUGUCUUCUCAACGACGGUGAUUUACGGUUGGGGCUGCUUUUUUUUUUUUUAAC